This 1270-nucleotide long non-coding RNA is filed under the name Nicotiana tabacum (common tobacco). RNAcentral describes it as "long non-coding RNA (NTAB_LNC001223)". Lineage: Eukaryota; Viridiplantae; Streptophyta; Magnoliopsida; Solanales; Solanaceae. The record is from RNAcentral.
GGUUCGAUCGAAAUGGCCCUGCGGCCAUAGCCAAAUACCAAGCUGAUCAUGCCACCCCAGGGAUGAACGAGGGAUCUAAUCCAGUUGGUCCUACGCCUCACACCUUGCAAGAGCUUCAAGAUACCACCCUUGGUUCGUUAUUGUCAGCUCUGAUGCAGCACUGUGAUCCUCCUCAGAGAAGAUUCCCAUUGGAGAAAGGUGUUUCGCCCCCGUGGUGGCCUACAGGGGAGGAGGAUUGGUGGCCUCAGUUGGGUUUGCAGAAGGAACAAGGUCCUCCGCCUUAUAAGAAGCCUCAUGAUCUGAAGAAAGCGUGGAAGGUUGGUGUCCUCACAGCAGUAAUCAAGCACAUGUUCCCCGAUAUUGCUAAAAUCCGUAAGCUUGUAAGGCAGUCAAAGUGCUUGCAGGAUAAGAUGACAGCCAAAGAAAGUGCAACUUGGCUUGCCAUCAUCAGUCAGGAGGAAGCUUUGGCUCGAGAACUCUAUCCUGAUCGCUGUCCGCCCUUGUCCUCCGCUGGUGCUAGUGGAACAUUCAUGUCGAAUGACAGCAGUGAGUAUGAUGUUGAAGGUGUUCAAGAGGAACCCAACUUUGAUGUUCAUGAGCAAAAACCAAACCAUCUCAGCUUGUUGAAUGUUAGUCUCGAGAGAUUGAAGGAGACGCUGCCUCUGCAGCAACAAUCUCAUCCAAACAAGGAUGAAAUGAUCACAGGCUUAGACUUCACCCGGAAGAGGAAGCAAUCCGGUGAACAGACUGUUACAAUGGACCAAAAGAUCUAUACGUGCGAGUUUCUUCAAUGUCCUUACAGUGAACUUUGCCAUGGUUUUCAGGACAGAUCUGCCAGAGACAAUCAUCAAUUAGCUUGUCCUUUCAGAAAAACUUCCCAAUUGGGAAUCUCAAACUUUCACGUGAACGAGGUCAAGCCAACUGUCUUCCCUCAACAAUAUGUCCAAUCAAAGUCAGCUGCUCUGUCUGUCAAUCCUGGACCAGGUCCACCUUCCUUUGAUCUAUUUGGAGUAGGAGUUCCUGAAGAUGGGCAAAGGAUGAUUGAUGAGCUAAUGUCAUUCUAUGACAGUAAAAUACAUGGAAACAAAAGCCAAAAUACGGGAAAUGUUGCACUGACCAAAGAGCAGCCUCAUCAACAACCUCGUCUCAACCAGGACAAUUACCUACACAGCCAAGGGAUGAUGGAAAGGAAUAUCUUCAAAGACACAAAUAUUUCUGCAAGCCACCCUAUACUCCCACAAGGCAAUCUAGCUGAUCAGUGUAAGGUUCU